RNAcentral lists this ribosomal RNA (198 nucleotides) under uncultured bacterium. RNAcentral's name for it is "partial 16S ribosomal RNA". It matches the Rfam family "Bacterial small subunit ribosomal RNA", at positions 328 to 539 of the family's 1533-position model. The record is from RNAcentral.
ACGCUCGACACCUACGGGGGGCAGCAGUGGGGGAUAUUGCACAAUGGGGGAAACCCUGAUGCAGCGACGCCGCGUGAAGGAAGAAGGCCUUCGGGUUGUAAACUUCUGUCGUACGGGACGAUAAUGACGGUACCGUACAAGAAAGCCACGGCUAACUACGUGCCAGCAGCAGCGGUAAUCUGAGCGGGCUGGCAAGGC